Molecule: ribosomal RNA, 484 nt
Filed under: uncultured bacterium
Lineage: Bacteria
Description: partial 16S ribosomal RNA
Rfam family: Bacterial small subunit ribosomal RNA
Source: RNAcentral
AUUGAACGCUGGCGGCAUGCUUUACACAUGCAAGUCGAACGGCAGCGCGGGCUUCGGCCUGGCGGCGAGUGGCGAACGGGUGAGUAAUACAUCGGAACGUGCCCAGUAGUGGGGGAUAGCUCGGCGAAAGCCGGAUUAAUACCGCAUACGACCUGAGGGUGAAAGCGGGGGAUCUUCGGACCUCGCGCUAUUGGAGCGGCCGAUGGCAGAUUAGCUAGUUGGUGGGGUAAAGGCCUACCAAGGCGACGAUCUGCAGCUGGUCUGAGAGGACGACCAGCCACACUGGGACUGAGACACGGCCCAGACUCCUACGGGAGGCAGCAGUGGGGAAUUUUGGACAAUGGGCGAAAGCCUGAUCCAGCAAUGCCGCGUGUGUGAUGAAGGCCUUCGGGUUGUAAAGCACUUUUGGCGGGAACGAAAAGGACUGUGCCAAUACCACGGUUCGAUGACGGUACCCGCAGAAUAAGCACCGGCUAACUACGUG